Molecule: unclassified non-coding RNA, 209 nt
Filed under: uncultured Hypholoma
Lineage: Eukaryota; Fungi; Basidiomycota; Agaricomycetes; Agaricales; Strophariaceae
Description: sequence contains ITS2
Source: RNAcentral
AAUUCUCAACCAUUGAUAACUUUUUGGUUAGCAAAUGGCUUGGAUGUGGGGGUGUGCAGGUUUCUCUACUGAAAUUAGCUCCCCUGAAAUACAUUAGCUGGUUGCCUUGUGUAAACUUGUCUAUUGGUGUGAUAAUUAUCUACGCCGUGGACUAUUUGCCGUUUUUAGCACUGCUUAUAAUCGUCUGUUAGUUCAGACAAUAUAUGACA